This 299-nucleotide ribosomal RNA is filed under the name Pseudopedinella elastica. Its description in RNAcentral is "partial Bacterial small subunit ribosomal RNA". It matches the Rfam family "Bacterial small subunit ribosomal RNA", at positions 469 to 767 of the family's 1533-position model. Lineage: Eukaryota; Dictyochophyceae; Pedinellales. The record is from RNAcentral.
UGGACGUUACUCGCAGAAUAAGCACCGGCUAACUCUGUGCCAGCAGCCGCGGUAAUACAGAGGGUGCAAGCGUUAAUCGGAAUUACUGGGCGUAAAGGGAGCGUAGGUGGCUCGAUAAGUCAGAUGUGAAAUCCCCGGGCUCAACCUGGGAACUGCAUCUGAUACUGUUGAGCUAGAGUAUGUGAGAGGAAGGUAGAAUUCCAGGUGUAGCGGUGAAAUGCGUAGAGAUCUGGAGGAAUACCGAUGGCGAAGGCAGCCAUCUGGCCUAAUACUGACGCUGAGGUACGAAAGCAUGGGGA